This 1104-nucleotide long non-coding RNA is filed under the name Sinocyclocheilus anshuiensis. RNAcentral describes it as "lncRNA (ENSSANG00000037776.1)". Lineage: Eukaryota; Metazoa; Chordata; Actinopteri; Cypriniformes; Cyprinidae. The record is from RNAcentral.
CAGUGUGUUUCUGAAGAGGACAGAGUAACAGCAGAACGAGAAACUCCACGUGAGCCGACAGCUGUAACAGGAGACUGUGCCGCUCCGAUCUGAUCGUUCCCUAAUUCAGAAACUCGGCUGUUAGUGAAGCGAGAGCCGCUGAAGUGCAUUGUGGGAGUGUAAAGACCGCGUGACAAACUGACCAACGGGAUGCCAGGAAUGAGUGCGCAGGCAACCAACACGCAUUCCAAUCUAAAUGGCGAGAAGCAGCACAGCAGUCCUCAGUCCGAGGACGAGCCCACGACCCCGAAAGUCCGUCCCAACCCCAAGUACCAGCUCUACCUGGGCUCCAACGGCACCAGCGGCUCCAACGGGACCCUGCUGAGGGUCAGUCCUGUGAUCCGGGGGUCCAUGGAGUCGCUGUCGUCCCGGGACGGGGACAGCAUGUCCGACAGAACAGGUGGCUUUGAAAGUCCUCCCCGAGUUUUCAACAGUCCGUAUUCGACGCUCUCGCUGGACUACAAUCCCUUCAACAGAAUGUCUGACUUCAAGACACAGGAAGUGAUGUCACCCACCGUCUCUGAGAUGAACCUGUUCGGUCUGAACAGAAGCGUGAGUCCCGUUAACAGUCCGGCUCUGAACCAGCGCACACGAGUCCCUGGAUACGACAGUCUGACCCGCAGACGAGACGUGAGUCUAGGCUGCCUCAUUAACGCACAGCUAAAAUUCGAAUGCAACGUUUUUGCAUUCGAAUGUGGAUUUUUAUUUUAAAUUCGACGAAUAUUCCAAAUAUGAUUUUUUUUGACAGCCCUAAUUAAUAACAUCACAAAUGUUGUUAGUUGAAAUAAAAUAAGUUAACUGAAAUACAAAAACUUAAACGUGUUUUAUUUCACUUCAACUAGAGCUAAAACUGAAAUAAAAAUAGACAUACUUUAAGAAAACAAUAGACGUACUUUAAAAAAAACGAACAAAAAUUACAAACACGCAACAAAAUAAAUAAAACUAACUAAAGAAAAAAUGAAAACAGAAAAUAUAAAAAUAAAAGCUAUGAAAAUAAGAAAAUUCUAAUAUUAAUAAAAACUAUAAUAAUAUCUCAAUGAAACUAGAAUAACAGGAACUAAUGGC